Molecule: ribosomal RNA, 497 nt
Filed under: uncultured bacterium
Lineage: Bacteria
Description: partial 16S ribosomal RNA
Rfam family: Bacterial small subunit ribosomal RNA
Source: RNAcentral
GACGAACGCUGGCGGCGUGCCUAAUACAUGCAAGUUGAGCGCUGAAGGUUGGUACUUGUACCAACUGGAUGAGCAGCGAACGGGUGAGUAACGCGUGGGGAAUCUGCCUUUGAGCGGGGGACAACAUUUGGAAACGAAUGCUAAUACCGCAUAAAAACUUUAAACACAAGUUUUAAGUUUGAAAGAUGCAAUUGCAUCACUCAAAGAUGAUCCCGCGUUGUAUUAGCUAGUUGGUGAGGUAAAGGCUCACCAAGGCGAUGAUACAUAGCCGACCUGAGAGGGUGAUCGGCCACAUUGGGAAUGAGACACGGCCCAAACUCCUACGGGAGGCAGCAGUAGGGAAUCUUCGGCAAUGGACGAAAGUCUGACCGAGCAACGCCGCGGGAGUGAAGAAGGUUUUCGGAUCGUAAAACUCUGUUGGUAGAGAAGAACGUUGGUGAGAGUGGAAAGCUCAUCAAGUGACGGUAACUACCCAGAAAGGGACGGCUAACUACGUG